UUAACCUCUAUUUUCUAUUCCAGAAACAUAAGAGAGUGCUCAUGUGUUGUCAGUGCUUGUUACAUUUUUAUAGCUGAAGAAAUGACAUUUUGGAGAAUAUAAAUAUUUGUACAAGUUGGUAGAUACCCUCUCUGUCCAACUCCAAAUGAUGUGCUUUCUCUCACAUAGCCCCAUGACUCAGUGUUGGCAUGGUAGGCCUUUGACUCUGGCCUGGGAGCCCUGAGCACAGGGAUGGGGACUGAAAGAGUGGGCUGUGGAGCCAGGCUUCAGGGAUGCAACAAGGGCUGCAAACAUCCUUCUCUUGCAGGCUCAGAAACAUCCAGUCACUUCCCUGACCACACUUCUCAGCUCUGCUUUCAGCUGACUUUCACGUUCUCAAGGUUAACCUUGUCAGCCUUGAUGAUCAACAAGGUUGCAAUGAGUAUUCAUAGAAAUUGGUACAGAAGUUAAUGUCCAGAUCCACAUGAAACGCAGGCAGAAAUGAAGACAGUGACACUUACCAAUCUUGACAGAAGGGACGAAAGCCUAAACUCUACAAGGAAAUGUUUGUAGCCCUCAUCAGUGUGGUGUUGAAUAUUGGAGACAGUAUAUGCACUUUAAAAAUCACAGGAUCUAAGCAUUAUGGAAAUGACAAUGACAACUUAAGGAGAGCUUUUGUCGCUAUGGGAGGAUGCUUAGAAACAUGCACUGCUAUUCGGCAUCAUUAAGAAACCCCCAAGUCCUUGCUUUCAGAGAGAACCUUUCAGAUCUUCAACCAGAUACCUGCCAAGAGUACCUUUAACAUGCAAACUAGCCAAGGGAGUUUGCCUGUGUCCUCAUAACCAGUGUCAAAGCAGGAGAACCUGAAGAAAUAUUGCACAUGUCCUCCCGGUGCUGCCCCUGAGCUGUCCCUAAAGAGAUCCUUGAAGUCAAGUGAGUGUAACAUCAAAAUGGAGAGAGACGCAUUUGUUUACUUCACCACAAAGCUUGGAGGAGUUUCGGUACUUCAAGGGCUCGUUGAAGGGGUAGUGGAGAGCAGAAAGGGGGAGCGUGUCAGGCCAGAGGACCCAUACCCAGACUGUGCAGUGCACGUGCCAAUGGAGGCAGUGGUCCCCGUGGCUGUGGCAGCAGUGUUUGGUGAUCCCAGCAAGAAGGGAAGAUGUGCCAGACUGGAGUAAUGUGAGCGGCGUCACCUGGCAGAUGUAGUGGUCCCUGGUUGACACUGGGGUGCCUCAGGUUGCAGAAAGAGAAAAAAGAAGCUAUGGUACACAGUAGAUGAGUAGGUGGCCGAUUUUACUUGUUUAUGAGCACACAUGAGACAUCCUUGGUAUAUUAGAGAGGAUAACCUGAUACAACACAUAUGCCCCAAAGGUUUAAUGGCUCAAACACAACAGGAGUUUAUAUUUUGCUUACAUAACAGUUGUGAGGGGUUGAGUCAUUGCACACCUGCAAGGCCCCGCGCCCCCAGUGAAGCCGGAAGCAACAUCCAGGAAGGCUGACCAAGACGUCCGCUUCUGGAAACUGUUGCUUUCUUGCCUGCGCCAUGGAAACUGUUGCUUGCCAACUUC
Molecule: non-coding RNA, 1547 nt
Organism: Microcebus murinus (gray mouse lemur)
Lineage: Eukaryota; Metazoa; Chordata; Mammalia; Primates; Cheirogaleidae
Source: RefSeq, a predicted model, not a curated record